RNAcentral lists this long non-coding RNA (350 nucleotides) under Gopherus agassizii (Agassiz's desert tortoise). RNAcentral describes it as "lncRNA (ENSGAGG00000006227.1)". Lineage: Eukaryota; Metazoa; Chordata; Testudines; Testudinidae. The record is from RNAcentral.
CUGUUGAGUUGGAAUCCAACGAGACAACAAACUUCAGACAGAAAGUUGAGAUUCCAUCGUGCUUGGAACUGAAAGAGUUGUUAAAAUUAGCACCAGAAAUUAUAGCAGAUGAAAGCAGAAGUGAAAAUAAAAUCAAAGAUCUUACUGCAAAUAUUACAAAUGAAAUAGAGAUUUCAAAAUACUGUCCCACAAUGGAAGAGGUUUGUUUCAAUCAGAGCAGAAAUCCACUGGAAUGCAGUGAGGCAGUUCGUUAUGCUUUAUAUCCUCAAUAUGAAGUAGAAAUACCACUAACUCCACCAUCCAGACCACAAAGAUCACUCGUGAAUUCACUUCAUGCAGGACUUCAGGCA